RNAcentral lists this transfer RNA (69 nucleotides) under Trachys variolaris. Its description in RNAcentral is "tRNA-Met". It matches the Rfam family "tRNA". From Rfam's summary of the family: Transfer RNA (tRNA) molecules are approximately 80 nucleotides in length. Their secondary structure includes four short double-helical elements and three loops (D, anti-codon, and T loops). Lineage: Eukaryota; Metazoa; Arthropoda; Insecta; Coleoptera; Buprestidae. The record is from RNAcentral.
AAAAAGAUAAGCUAACCAAGCUGGUGGGCUCAUACCCCUUAUAUGAAGGUCCUAAUCCUUCUCUUUUUA